RNAcentral lists this long non-coding RNA (1128 nucleotides) under Homo sapiens (human). RNAcentral describes it as "HSALNT0001487". The record is from RNAcentral. Lineage: Eukaryota; Metazoa; Chordata; Mammalia; Primates; Hominidae.
CAGCCUUUCCCACGGCAGGGUCGUGGCUCCUCGAUUCUUUCUCAGGCUUUGAUUUCUAUUUGUGGUAUGUUUUUGUUCUAGGCCUCUGAGCGUGGUGGGUGGGGGCGGGGGUGGGGGGGCAGGGAGUGCUGUUUCUGGCUUCUCAGCACAUCCUCAUUCUCGGCUGGUGGUAAGAAAGGGGAGAGGGUCAGCUGCUGAGGACCGUCCUCCCCUGGGGGUUCCUGGAAUGUGUGAGCUGGGAGGACAGGUGCCCCGGCCUCUUUCUCGGAGAAGAGGAGAAGGAGCCUGGGGGGAAGGCACCCCAGUGACAACCGCAGAGGGAGGGCACCAACCCCCAACACAAACUCAGGGCCACCAACUCUGGGCCACCUCCGUGUGAGGAAGGCAAAGAAGGCAGUCUGCCCGGUCACUGAGGCUGAAACCUCAGAGCUGAGCUGUGGCCUCCACUCACCCACCACUGGCCCAUCCUCCCUCCACGGCAGGGGCGCCUUUCCCAGAAGGCUCUGGCGUUGCUUAGACCACAGCGGAGGCCGGUGCUCAACUUUUAGAAUUGCUGUUGGAAAUAAAUAAUUCAUAUAUGUAAAAAUGCUUAUAAUCGUGCCUGACACAGAGUGAACCCCCAUAAAAUGUGAGUGUUUGAGCUAUCCUUCUAGUAUAUUCUAGAAUGGCAUCUUUGGGCUUUGUGAGACUGGAUGUUUCUGCGCUAAGAGUAUUUUUCUUUCUUUCUUUUUGAGAUGGAGUCUCACUCUGUCACCCAGGCUGGAGCGCAGUGGCACAAUCUUGGCUCACUGCAACCUCCGCCUCCCAGAUUCAAGCGAUUUUCCUGCCUCAACCUCCCGAGUAGCUGGGGUUACAGGAAUGCGCCACCACGCCCAGCUAAUUUUUGUAUUUUCGUAGAGACAGGGUUUCACCAUGUUGGCCAGGCUGGUCUCAAACUGGUGACCUCAGGUGAUCCACUGGCCUCAGCCUCCCAAAGUGCUGGGACUACAGGCGUCUCGCUCUGUCGCCCAGGCUGGAUCGCAGUGACGCGAUCUCAGCUCACUGCAGCCUCAACCCCCUGGCUCCUGCGGGAGGUGCCAUCUGCCUCCAUGGUUCCUCCAUUGUUCUCAGAUCAACAGUGGGGCUCUG